This 515-nucleotide ribosomal RNA is filed under the name uncultured bacterium. Its description in RNAcentral is "bacterial SSU rRNA". It matches the Rfam family "Bacterial small subunit ribosomal RNA", at positions 8 to 526 of the family's 1533-position model. The record is from RNAcentral.
AGAGUUUGAUCAUGGCUCAGGACGAACGCUGGCGGCGUGCUUAACACAUGCAAGUCGAACGGAAAGGCCCGCUUGCGGGUGCUCGAGUGGCGAACGGGUGAGUAACACGUGGGUAACCUGCCCCCAUCUCUGGGAUAACCGUUGGAAACGGCGGCUAAUACCGGAUACGACCUGGUUCCGCAUGGUGCUGGGUGGAAAGUUGUUGCGGUUGGGGAGGGGCCCGCGGCCUAUCAGCUGGUUGGUGCGGUGAUGGCGCACCAAGGCUUUGACGGGUAGCCGGCCUGAGAGGGCGGUCGGUCACAUUGGGACUGAGAUACGGCCCAGACUCCUACGGGAGGCAGCAGUGGGGAAUUUUGCACAAUGGGCGGAAGCCUGAUGCAGCGACGCCACGUGAGGGAUGACGGCUUUCGGGUUGUAAACCUCUUUUAUCCACCACGAAGGCCCCGUAUUCGCGGGGUUGACGGUAGUGGUUGAAUAAGCGCCGGCUAACUACGUGCCAGCAGCCGCGGUAAUAC